AGGAGAUCUAUUUCCUUUUACAUCUGAUGGAAAGAGCAAAUCCAAGCCCUAAAUGACACUAACAGGAUUUUCAUAAUCUGUGACAAAACACGCCAGCAGUACCAGCAGAGCUCACUUCCAGCUGUCUCCUCCCCUGGACUGGGAACCCCGAAUCCAGGACUCAUUUGAACAACACAGCUCCCAUUGCCUGCACGGGGAAACUGAGGCAUAGCUAGGGGCCAGGACAACCCCAAGGUCAUAUGGCAAAGUUGGAACUAGAACAAAGACUCCUGACUCCCAAGCCUGGGCCUGUCUCUGUGUGCCCACUCCUGCACGUUUACACACAUCACACACUAAACACACACACACACCAUGCAGGAAAUGUUCUCCAAACUCAGAUGGGUAAAUGCCUGGGUACGUGCGACAUCCCACAGUCACACAUUCCCUCCCGUAGACGUACACUUGCCUGGACAGAAGUGUGCAGACAUCCGCACAGCGCCCCCCAGACACCCAAAUGCAGACACAAACACGUUUGUGUUCACACACGCAGGCACUCACACACGCAUAUCUGAUCACCGCAAAUCGAAAUACUCAAACCCACAGAGACACCUACACAGGACAUACGCACACACAAAUAUCCACAGAUAGACGCAAGAGUCAAAAGUGCCCCUCAAUGCACAUCCACAGACACACCACUCACCAUUCACAGACACGCACGUGUACAGCACUCUCACAGCCCCGUGAGGCCCACAGGCCGACACUCAGCUAAACAGCCACGUCUCCUCUCUCACAGCCAUGCCGUGCUGGCACCAGGGUCAGGCUAGAGUGUCCUGGUGACCCUGUCAUGCCUCUGCAAGGUAGCCUGGGAAUCUGAGACAGGCAAGGUGACACCUCCUGUGGGAGGCCAAGGACACCACGCGCUAUCCGACGAGCCACAGUGGAUCCAUAGCACAGCUCAGAGGGCCAGGAGCUGCCCGGGACCCAGCCCUAGCUGCCCACACUCUCCUCACCUCAGCACAAGCGUGUGAGUGGGUGUCUUCAUCUUCCUCUAUUUUGUAUGUAGGACACCGCUACAGCACAGCUUGAUGAGCCAUGUGUAGGUCCACGCCCGGAAUCCGAACCCGUGAACCCUGAGCCGCUGAAGCAAAGCCCGCAG
This 1135-nucleotide long non-coding RNA is filed under the name Equus caballus (horse). Its description in RNAcentral is "lncRNA (ENSECAG00000045456.1)". The record is from RNAcentral. Lineage: Eukaryota; Metazoa; Chordata; Mammalia; Perissodactyla; Equidae.